This 73-nucleotide transfer RNA is filed under the name Rattus norvegicus (Norway rat). It matches the Rfam family "tRNA". Rfam says of the family: Transfer RNA (tRNA) molecules are approximately 80 nucleotides in length. The record is from Rfam by way of RNAcentral. Lineage: Eukaryota; Metazoa; Chordata; Mammalia; Rodentia; Muridae.
GAGAUUGUAGCUCAGUUGGUAAAGUGUUUGCCUAGCAUGCACAAAGCUCUGGGUUCAAUCCCCAGCACUGCCU